AUGCUAGGCAUAACAAAGAUGUUAACAACCGCCAAUUCUGCACAUUGGGGAAGGGCACUUGUAUCUAUCCAUGGCACAUGUGAGUUGGCAAGAAGGCAAUACUACAAGAUUGCAGAAAUAGGAAAAUGCUUCAGAUUAAACACCUUCUACUUCAGGGUUGAGAUCACAGACCAUAUCAGCAUGGUGCUGAUCAGGAACCACAAAUGCAUCAUCAUUGUUUUCUGCACAUCUAACCCAGGCCAUAGAUGCUAUCCAUCAGAAACCAAGCAAAGGAGCAACUUAGGUUUUUUCUUUACAUGA
This 300-nucleotide ribosomal RNA is filed under the name Triticum aestivum (bread wheat). RNAcentral describes it as "partial small subunit ribosomal RNA". Lineage: Eukaryota; Viridiplantae; Streptophyta; Magnoliopsida; Poales; Poaceae. The record is from RNAcentral.